This 627-nucleotide unclassified non-coding RNA is filed under the name Diabrotica virgifera virgifera (western corn rootworm). Its description in RNAcentral is "uncharacterized LOC126879946". The record is from RNAcentral. Lineage: Eukaryota; Metazoa; Arthropoda; Insecta; Coleoptera; Chrysomelidae.
CUGACUUCUAGCGGUGACGUCUGACAGCUACUGCUGGCUCAGCUGUCCAGCCGCUGUGGUCGUCCGAACGACGAAAGGCUAAUUAACCCACGCGGUACCGACGUUGCCAAAUGUUGAUAUCUUCAUCCUUCUGUCAAAGUCACAGGCAAUGUGAGGUUAUGAGUUAUUUGUUGUUUUCUUGUCACAGAGCUAGCAAAAUGAUGAUUUUAUUUUUAUUGUGGAAUUGGAAGAAGGAAAUAAAGAAAAGGUUGAUUAUGGUGAAGAAGUAAAACAAAAUUACUUAUAUGCUAAGUUUAUUGAAGAGUGAAGAUCUUGAACAAGAGAUAACGCAAACAUCUAGGAGAUUUUUGAUGAGUUGCCAAUCCUGCGUUCUUAGAAAAAAGCCAGUCCCAGAAGGAAACUACCAAUAAUAAAGUAGAGAAUUUAUUACACCAAAGAACAAAGCUAAUCCUCAACAUAGAUCAACUGAUCCACAUAGAAAAGGAGGAGCAAAGGGCACAACAGAAGCAGGCCAGACAAAAGAAAAUGACAGAAGAGAGACACAGAAAAGAAAUUACUUUAUUAAAUUUAAAAAUUAAAUUAUGCAAAGGACAAUUAAAUAAAGAAUAAAAAAAUCAAACAUGUGUA